Molecule: ribosomal RNA, 1548 nt
Filed under: Triticum aestivum (bread wheat)
Lineage: Eukaryota; Viridiplantae; Streptophyta; Magnoliopsida; Poales; Poaceae
Description: partial small subunit ribosomal RNA
Source: RNAcentral
UAGUUUACCCGUACUGAAACAUUAGUGGUUUAAAUAAAACUCAAUACAUUCUCAUAAAACGGGAAUCACCGCUGGAAUUAUUUAUUUAUAUUUGUAUCAUGAAUUAAACACCUCCUCUCCGUUAGCACGAGGUUAUUAACUGUUCGGUUAGUGGUUAUCAAUGUUACUAAGGUACACAUAUACAGACGGCACGGCAAGAGUAGAGUGGAAGAGAGGCCAUGUUCAGUGAAGGGUCAACGAAGACCGAAACUAGCACGAAGAGUGGAAACUUUUAAGCCAAGAGGAACGAAAUUAACACGGGACGAAGCGGAAGCAGAGCCGACCGAGAAUAUACCGGUAUCCUGGUCGACGUGGACGUAUGACGUACGAGACGAGACGUACCUGUUGGAGCGGCAGGCCGAGGGCACGUGGAACGGCGGCCGUCGGCACUAGGAACGCGCGCGGCAGACUAGCGGGCCCACAGACCUCGACAAAGACGCCGUCGCGGACGCCCAGUGGCGGUCGUGCCCGCUACGGAGGAGUGCGCGGAAGGAAGCUCUUCUCGACGAGGCCGCUGGCCGUUUCUGUCCUCCGUCCUCCCGUCGACGACGCUCCGGGCCCCGUCGCCACCAGCAGCAAGGUGCCCGCGCCCCGCCUCGUCGCCGUGGUCGACGGUUUCGUCUCCGGGUUCUGCGUCGGCCUGGACGAGCGGCCGCACUCCCCGUCCUCGAAGGCGCGGCGCCUGCCGCCGCUCGGCGACCGGCUCGACCGCCAGGCCUCCUGCGGCCCGUUCCACGACCACUUGCACUGGCACGUCUCCUCGGACACCGGCGACGUGCAGUACCGCAGCCGCCUGACCUCGCACCGCCUGGAACACCGGCGGCGGCACCCCUAAAUGCACUUCCUCCCGUCCGCCGGGAACGACGGCCGCUGGCUGGGCAGCUGGAAGCCGGAUGUGAUGAGGGUCAAGUCGAACCUUUCAAACCUGGGCUCCCUCUUCCACUACCUCGAUCCCAGGGCCUCGAAGAAGGACACGGGGUCCAGGAGGAGCCGGCGGCAGGUCUGGAGGAGCAGGAGGACGAGGAGACGGCCUCGUUCGCCACAGUCCUUGCGGCCCCUCCGCGGAUGCAGCCGUCCGCUUGGCGGCCGAACCGACGCGAUGUACGGCAAGACCGGCUGGUACAUCGCUCGAUCGUGUGCAGUAGUAGGUACUACUAGUGACCUGACGGGUGGGAGCCAGGUAAAGAGCUUAACCAAACCGUGCGUCUCGAAGUCUCCUAUUCUGGCAUCGCACGACCACGGACUGUCAUAGAGCAACAAAUCCGCCUUUGCAGUACUAGGUGAGCCGAGCCGGUGCGGUCUAAGUCUGUCAUCCUUUAUAGCCUACGCACUAAUCCUGUCAAGGGCCCUGGCACGGGCCCGUUAAUUCUAACAAUAUAUCUGAUGUCCUUCGUACUACACAUUAAUAACUUAAAACAUGAUAGACUAACACCUACGUUCAUCUCCUCUAACUGGCCGAUACAUACCUACCUAGUGUAUACGUUCAACUGUUCACCCUUCCUUUGAUGC